UAGCUUGGGAAUCUGGCUUAUGGAGGGGGAUAACUACGGGAAACUGUAGCUAAUACCGCGUAGUAUCGAGAGAUGAAAGUGCGGGACCGCAAGGCCGCAUGCCAUGAGAUGAGCCCAAGUGGGAUUAGGUAGUUGGUGGGGUAAAGGCCUACCAAGCCUGCGAUCUCUAGCUGGUCUGAGAGGAUGGCCAGCCACACUGGAACUGAGACACGGUCCAG
RNAcentral lists this ribosomal RNA (218 nucleotides) under uncultured bacterium. RNAcentral describes it as "partial 16S ribosomal RNA". It matches the Rfam family "Bacterial small subunit ribosomal RNA", at positions 113 to 334 of the family's 1533-position model. The record is from RNAcentral.